This 253-nucleotide ribosomal RNA is filed under the name uncultured bacterium. Its description in RNAcentral is "partial 16S ribosomal RNA". It matches the Rfam family "Bacterial small subunit ribosomal RNA", at positions 524 to 776 of the family's 1533-position model. The record is from RNAcentral.
UACGUAGGGGGCUAGCGUUGUCCGGAAUCAUUGGGCGUAAAGAGCGUGUAGGCGGCCCGGUAAGUCCGCUGUGAAAGUCGGGGGCUCAACCCUCGGAUGCCGGUGGAUACUGUCGGGCUCGAGUACGGAAGAGGCGAGUGGAAUUCCUGGUGUAGCGGUGAAAUGCGCAGAUAUCAGGAAGAACACCCGUGGCGAAAGCGGCUCUCUGGAACGGUACUGACGCUGAGACGCGAAAGCGUGGGGAGCGAACAGG